ACGAGUUUGAUCCUGGCUCAGAACGAACGUUGGCGGCGUGGAUUAGGCAUGCAAGUCGAACGAAUCCCUGAGGGCUUGCUCUCAGGGGGAAGUGGCGAAAGGGGCAGUAAGGCGUGGGUAACUUACCCCGGAGUUCGGAAUAGCCUUCCUAACGGAAGGGUAAUACCGAAUGUCGUAUUGUGGGGGCAUCUCCGUGAUACGAAAGCUCUGGCGCUCCGGGAGGGGCCCACGUGGUAUUAGCUAGUUGGUGAGGUAACGGCUCACCAAGGCCAAGAUGCCUAGCGGGUGUGAGAGCACGACCUGCGUCACUGGCACUGGGACACUGGCCAGACUCCUACGGGAGGCUGCAGUCGAGGAUCUUCGGCAAUGGGCGCAAGCCUGACCGAGCGACGCCGCGUGUGUGAUGAAGGCCUUCGGGUUGUAAAGCACUGUCGGGAGGGAGAAAAGGGAAACCUUGAUCGACCUCCGGAGGAAGCACGGGCUAAGUUCGUG
Molecule: ribosomal RNA, 492 nt
Filed under: uncultured bacterium
Lineage: Bacteria
Description: bacterial SSU rRNA
Rfam family: Bacterial small subunit ribosomal RNA
Source: RNAcentral